This 254-nucleotide ribosomal RNA is filed under the name uncultured bacterium. RNAcentral's name for it is "partial 16S ribosomal RNA". It matches the Rfam family "Bacterial small subunit ribosomal RNA", at positions 524 to 776 of the family's 1533-position model. The record is from RNAcentral.
UACGAAGGGGGCUAGCGUUGCUCGGAAUCACUGGGCGUAAAGCGCACGUAGGCGGAUCUUUAAGUCAGGGGUGAAAUCCUGGAGCUCAACUCCAGAACUGCCUUUGAUACUGAGGAUCUUGAGUCCGGGAGAGGUGAGUGGAACUCCGAGUGUAGAGGUGAAAUUCGUAGAUAUUCGGAAGAACACCAGUGGCGAAGGCGGCUCACUGGCCCGGUACUGACGCUGAGGUGCGAAAGCGUGGGGGAGCAAACAGG